AACGAACGCUGGCGGCAUGCCUAACACAUGCAAGUCGAACGAGACCUUCGGGUCUAGUGGCGCACGGGUGCGUAACACGUGGGAAUCUGCCCUUUGCUUCGGAAUAACAGUUAGAAAUGACUGCUAAUACCGGAUGAUGUCGAAAGACCAAAGAUUUAUCGGCAAAGGAUGAGCCCGCGUAGGAUUAGGUAGUUGGUGGGGUAAAGGCCUACCAAGCCGACGAUCCUUAGCUGGUCUGAGAGGAUGAUCAGCCACACUGGGACUGAGACACGGCCCAGACUCCUACGGGAGGCGGCAGUGGGGAAUAUUGGACAAUGGGCGAAAGCCUGAUCCAGCAAUGCCGCGUGAGUGAUGAAGGCCUUAGGGUUGUAAAGCUCUUUUACCAGGGAUGAUAAUGACAGUACCUGGAGAAUAAGCUCCGGCUAACUCCGUG
This 433-nucleotide ribosomal RNA is filed under the name uncultured bacterium. RNAcentral describes it as "partial 16S ribosomal RNA". It matches the Rfam family "Bacterial small subunit ribosomal RNA", at positions 29 to 507 of the family's 1533-position model. The record is from RNAcentral.